AAGAGUGAUGCAUCAACAGGUCAGACAGACCGACCUUCCUCCUGCCCACUGGCCUUCUUCUGGCUUACGAAACUAGCUAGUGAAACUCUAGCUAUCCGGGAAUCCGCAACUAGAACUACAAAGCAAAGGGAUGACUUGUCCCCAACAAAAGGUGCAAAGCUUGGGCCAGUUCCUGCUUAAACUCCAAACCCCAUUGCCCUUCCUGUUAUGGCACGCCCUCUAUUGCCAGGUGCUUCAUACGAGACUGAAACUGCCAUAUGCACGGGCGAAGAAAAGCCUCUCUCUGGGUCUGCGUCAACAAGUUCGAAGAACUUGCCUUUACUGCGACACCGACCACGGCCUUGGUGGUCCCCUCUCUUCUCUAGGCUACCCUACAGCGUCUUCCGAUGACUUCCUUUCGUGCCUUGCUGUUCUGGUUCUGUUCUUUCUAUAGGGCCUUCGUUCACCACACGGGUGAUCACUUCCUUGGGCCGGAUAGACAGGGUUUUCUCGUUUAGUGCUCCCC
RNAcentral lists this long non-coding RNA (505 nucleotides) under Coffea arabica (coffee). Its description in RNAcentral is "long non-coding RNA (CARA_LNC008076)". Lineage: Eukaryota; Viridiplantae; Streptophyta; Magnoliopsida; Gentianales; Rubiaceae. The record is from RNAcentral.